AAAGGAUUUGUUUUUAUUAAAAAAAAAUAUAUAUGUUCUUAUCAGUUUAGUAUCUGAUACGUACCCUCUCUGUGUACUGCAUAUUAAAUAGAUUUUUGGAUCAUGGAGCUGGAGCCGGGUCCACUCCACGCAUCGGCCUGGUAUUGCAGUGUCUCCAGGAACAGUGUGCUUCCC
RNAcentral lists this small nuclear RNA (174 nucleotides) under Sinocyclocheilus anshuiensis. RNAcentral describes it as "U2 spliceosomal RNA (ENSSANG00000045744.1)". It matches the Rfam family "U2 spliceosomal RNA". Rfam says of the family: U2 is a small nuclear RNA (snRNA) component of the spliceosome (involved in pre-mRNA splicing). Complementary binding between U2 snRNA (in an area lying towards the 5' end but 3' to hairpin I) and the branchpoint sequence (BPS) of the intron results the bulging out of an unpaired adenosine, on the BPS, which initiates a nucleophilic attack at the intronic 5' splice site, thus starting the first of two transesterification reactions that mediate splicing. Lineage: Eukaryota; Metazoa; Chordata; Actinopteri; Cypriniformes; Cyprinidae. The record is from Rfam by way of RNAcentral.